CCCUGGCUCUUGCAGUGCUGCUAGCUAGCUAACUGCGUGGUCAACAGUCACCUCUGUUUCUUAAGCAGUGACAUAGGAGCUGGGGUUUGGAUGACAUCUGUAAUUGUUGCCAAGCUGUGUGGAAUCCUCUCCAACCUCAAGAUUCCGCUUCAGGAGGUCCGGGGUGGUGAUGCCCAUCUGCUACCACACUUGGUAACAUCCAGAGAAGCUCCAUGUGUCCAAAUGUCCUAGCUGCGGACACUCGGUUGGCCGCUUGGCUGGCGAACACUUACAUCUUGGAGCUUCCAGUGCAGCCCCACCUGGAUCCCACCCCUCUAAUCUGAAGACCCCAGUAAUGUCUAAGGAGAGAAAUAAAGACGACUUUUUUUUUUUUUUAAUCCCUAUCCCAACUGGAAUGGACUGGGAGAAGGAAACCUUGACCCUUGCUGCUCCGUCAGCUGUUGGGAGGCCCCAUGCUCAGGACUGGGAGCAUCGGGGCAGGACAGCUUCCGAAAGCUUUCACAGGAACACUCUAUUUUCGGAUAGCGGGGGGGAGCGUGUACUUGUUUGACUUCUGAGAUUCCUGGAUUCUUUUGGCCACAGGGUUGGUUCCCUUGAC
This is a long non-coding RNA of Panthera uncia (snow leopard), 598 nucleotides long. RefSeq lists it as uncharacterized. Lineage: Eukaryota; Metazoa; Chordata; Mammalia; Carnivora; Felidae. The transcript has 4 exons. The record is from RefSeq and is a predicted model, not a curated record.